CAGAGGCGAUGAAAGACGUGAUAGCCUGCGAAAAGCUCCGGGGAGGCGGCAAAUAUCCUUUGAUCCGGAGAUGUCUGAAUGGGGGAACCCACCUACUUUAAGGUAGGUAUUGCAACAUGAAUACAUAGUGUUGCAAGGCGAACGAGGGGAAGUGAAACAUCUCAGUACCCUUAGGAAAAGAAAUCAAUUGAGAUUCCCUCAGUAGCGGCGAGCGAACGGGGAUCAGCCCAUUAAGUUAUGUGUGUUUUAGUGGAACGCUCUGGGAAGUGCGAACGUAGAGGGUGAUAUUCCCGUACACGAAAGGGCACACAUAAUGAUGACGAGUAGGGCGAGGCACGUGAAACCUUGUCUGAAUAUGGGGGGACCAUCCUCCAAGGCUAAAUACUCCUGACUGACCGAUAGUGAACCAGUACCGUGAGGGAAAGGCGAAAAGAACCCCUGUGAGGGGAGUGAAAUAGAUCCUGAAACCGCAUGCAUACAAGCAGUGGGAGCACCUUCGUGGUGUGACUGCGUACCUUUUGUAUAAUGGGUCAGCGACUUAUAUUCAGUAGCGAGGUUAACCGUAUAGGGGAGCCGUAGAGAAAUCGAGUCUUAAUAGGGCGUUUAGUUGCUGGGUAUAGACCCGAAACCAGGCGAUCUAUCCAUGAGCAGGUUGAAGGUUGGGUAACACUAACUGGAGGACCGAACCCACUGUCGUUGAAAAGCCAGGGGAUGACUUGUGGAUAGGGGUGAAAGGCUAAUCAAGCCUGGUGAUAGCUGGUUCUCCCCGAAAGCUAUUUAGGUAGCGCCUCGGACGAAUACCAUAGGGGGUAGAGCACUGUUUCGGCUAGGGGGUCAUCCCGACUUACCAAACCGAUGCAAACUCCGAAUACCUAUGAGUACUAUCCGGGAGACAGACUGCGGGUGCUAACGUCCGUAGUCAAGAGGAAAACAAUCCAGACCGCCAGCUAAGGCCCCAAAAUCAUAGUUAAGUGGGAAACGAUGUGGGAAGGCAUAGACAGCUAGGAGGUUGGCUUAGAAGCAGCCACCCUUUAAAGAAAGCGUAAUAGCUCACUAGUCGAGUCGGCCUGCGCGGAAGAUGUAACGGGGCUAAAACUAUGUGCCGAAGCUGCGGAUGUAUACUUUGUAUACGUGGUAGGGGAGCGUUCUGUAAGCCGAUGAAGGUGUGUUGAGAAGCAUGCUGGAGGUAUCAGAAGUGCGAAUGCUGACGUGAGUAACGACAAAACGGGUGAAAAACCCGUUCGCCGAAAGACCAAGGGUUCCAGUCCAACGUUAAUCGGGGCUGGGUGAGUCGACCCCUAAGGCGAGGCCGAAAGGCGUAGUCGAUGGGAAAAUGGUUAAUAUUCCAUUACUUCUGUGUAAUGCGAUGAGAGGACGGAGAAGGCUAAAUCAGCCUGGCGUUGGUUGUCCAGGUGAAAGGAUGUAGGCAUGUAUCUUAGGCAAAUCCGGGGUACUCUAUGCUGAGAUCUGAUAGCAAGCUGUACUUGUACAGCGAAGUGGUUGAUGCCAUGCUUCCAGGAAAAGUCUCUAAGCUUCAGUUACACAGGAAUCGUACCCGAAACCGACACAGGUGGUCAGGUCGAGUAGACCAAGGCGCUUGAGAGAACUCUGCUGAAGGAACUAGGCAAAAUGGUACCGUAACUUCGGGAGAAGGUACGCUGUUGUUGGUGAUGGAACUCGCUUCCUGAGCUGACGACAGCCGCAGAAACCAGGCCGCUGCAACUGUUUAUUAAAAACAUAGCACUCUGCAAACACGAAAGUGGACGUAUAGGGUGUGAUGCCUGCCCGGUGCUGGAAGGUUAAUUGAUGGGGUUAGCGUAAGCGAAGCUCUUGAUCGAAGCCCCAGUAAACGGCGGCCGUAACUAUAACGGUCCUAAGGUAGCGAAAUUCCUUGUCGGGUAAGUUCCGACCUGCACGAAUGGCAUAAUGAUGGCGGCGCUGUCUCCAGCAGAGGCUCAGUGAAAUCGAAAUCGCUGUGAAGAUGCAGUGUACCCGCGGCUAGACGGAAAGACCCCGUGAACCUUUACUGCAGCUUGACACUGAACUUUGACCUUACUUGUGUAGGAUAGGUGGGAGGCUUUGAAGCUGGAACGCUAGUUCCAGUGGAGCCGUCCUUGAAAUACCACCCUGGUAAUGUUGAGGUUCUAACUCUGUCCCGUGAUCCGGGACGAGGACCGUGUCUGGUGGGUAGUUUGACUGGGGCGGUCUCCUCCUAAAGAGUAACGGAGGAGUACGAAGGUGCGCUCAGCGUGGUCGGAAAUCACGCGUAGAGUAUAAAGGCAAAAGCGCGCUUAACUGCGAGACCCACAAGUCGAGCAGGUACGAAAGUAGGUCUUAGUGAUCCGGUGGUUCUGUAUGGAAGGGCCAUCGCUCAACGGAUAAAAGGUACUCUGGGGAUAACAGGCUGAUACCGCCCAAGAGUUCAUAUCGACGGCGGUGUUUGGCACCUCGAUGUCGGCUCAUCUCAUCCUGGGGCUGAAGCAGGUCCCAAGGGUAUGGCUGUUCGCCAUUUAAAGAGGUACGCGAGCUGGGUUUAGAACGUCGUGAGACAGUUCGGUCCCUAUCUACCGUGGGCGCUGGAAAUUUGAGAGGAUCUGCUCCUAGUACGAGAGGACCAGAGUGGACGAACCUCUGGUGUACCGGUUGUGACGCCAGUCGCAUCGCCGGGUAGCUAUGUUCGGAAGGGAUAACCGCUGAAAGCAUCUAAGCGGGAAGCCUACCUCAAGAUAAGAUUUCCCUAGGACUUUAUGUCCUCUAAAGAGCCGUUCGAGACUAGGACGUUGAUAGGUUGGAUGUGGAAGCAUAGUGAUAUGUGAAGCUGACCAAUACUAAUUGCUCGUGAGGCUUGACUA
RNAcentral lists this ribosomal RNA (2852 nucleotides) under Acinetobacter baumannii 44298_2. RNAcentral describes it as "bacterial LSU rRNA". It matches the Rfam family "Bacterial large subunit ribosomal RNA". Lineage: Bacteria; Pseudomonadati; Pseudomonadota; Gammaproteobacteria; Moraxellales; Moraxellaceae. The record is from RNAcentral.